Etheostoma cragini (Arkansas darter) is the source of this 262-nucleotide long non-coding RNA. RefSeq lists it as uncharacterized. The transcript has 2 exons. The record is from RefSeq and is a predicted model, not a curated record. NCBI's taxonomy places the organism in Eukaryota, Metazoa, Chordata, Actinopteri, Perciformes, Percidae.
ACGCCAAUGUUUAUACCAAGAUAGUGAAACUGUAUUGUGUUGCAUUGUCCAUAUUUAACAGUUCACUCUAAGUAUAGUGUAAUGAACAAUGUACAUAAAAGGGAGCACUAUUGCCUACCUUACACAUUAUUGUCAUCUCUGAUCUGAGAAAUGCAGCAAAGCAACUGAGAAGAACUGUACUGUUGUGAGCUGCGAAGACCAAAUACCAAGUUGAUUAUACAGCUCCAUACAGGUAUUUGUAGGAUGUGUUUGUAUGUUUAUA